This 361-nucleotide ribosomal RNA is filed under the name uncultured eukaryote. RNAcentral's name for it is "bacterial SSU rRNA". It matches the Rfam family "Eukaryotic small subunit ribosomal RNA", at positions 21 to 373 of the family's 1831-position model. The record is from RNAcentral.
AUUGUAGUCAUAUGCUUGUCUCAAAGAUUAAGCCAUGCAUGUCUAAGUACAAACUUUUACACAGUGAAACUGCGAAUGGCUCAUUAGAUCAGUUAUGGUUCCUUAGAUCGUACAAUCCUACUUGGAUAACUGUGGUAAUUCUAGAGCUAAUACAUGAAAGCACGCUCCGACUCUCUGGGGAAGAGCGUUUUUAUUACGACAAAACCAAUCGGCCCUCGGGUCGGCCCUUUGAUGACUCUGAAUAACUUUGUUCUGAUCGCAGGGCCUUGAGCCGGCGACGUAUCUUUCAAAUGUCUGCCCUAUCAAGUUUCGAUGUUAGUUGACAUGACUAUCAUGCUUUCAACGGGUAACGGGGAAUAAU